This 743-nucleotide ribosomal RNA is filed under the name uncultured Pseudoalteromonas sp. Its description in RNAcentral is "bacterial SSU rRNA". It matches the Rfam family "Bacterial small subunit ribosomal RNA", at positions 1 to 731 of the family's 1533-position model. The record is from RNAcentral. Lineage: Bacteria; Pseudomonadati; Pseudomonadota; Gammaproteobacteria; Alteromonadales; Pseudoalteromonadaceae.
CCCUUAGAGUUUGAUCCUGGCUCAGAUUGAACGCUGGCGGCAGGCCUAACACAUGCAAGUCGAGCGGUAACAGAUUGAUAGCUUGCUAUCGAUGCUGACGAGCGGCGGACGGGUGAGUAAUGCCUGGGAAUAUGCCCUGAUGUGGGGGAUAACUAUUGGAAACGAUAGCUAAUACCGCAUAAUCUCUUUGGAGCAAAGAGGGGGACCUUCGGGCCUCUCGCGUCAGGAUUAGCCCAGGUGGGAUUAGCUUGUUGGUGGGGUAAUGGCUCACCAAGGCAACGAUCCCUAGCUGGUCUGAGAGGAUGAUCAGCCACACUGGAACUGAGACACGGUCCAGACUCCUACGGGAGGCAGCAGUGGGGAAUAUUGCACAAUGGGGGAAACCCUGAUGCAGCCAUGCCGCGUGUAUGAAGAAGGCCUUCGGGUUGUAAAGUACUUUCAGUUGUGAGGAAGGCAGUAAAGUUAAUAGCUUUGCUGUUUGACGUUAGCAACAGAAGAAGCACCGGCUAACUCCGUGCCAGCAGCCGCGGUAAUACGGAGGGUGCGAGCGUUAAUCGGAAUUACUGGGCGUAAAGCGCAUGCAGGUGGUUUGUUAAGCAAGAUGUGAAAGCCCGGGGCUCAACCUCGGAACAGCAUUUUGAACUGGCAGACUAGAGUACUGUAGAGGGGGGGUAGAAUUUCAGGUGUAGCGGUGAAAUGCGUAGAGAUCUGAAGGAAUACCGGUGGCGAAAGGCGGCCCCCUG